CACUGAUUUUGUUAGUCUUUGGUGCUUUUAUUUAAAAAGUAUGAAUGUAUUUGUCUUUGUUAUCACAAAAUAAUUUACAUGACAGAACUAUUGUUAAUGAUUUCUGGACGUCAGUCAGUCACGUUCAUAAUCAUUAAAAUUAUUACUGCAUUAAAAAUGUAGUUGACAUAAAAGCAAGAUAAAUAAUAGAUUCAUAAAAAAUGUUACAAAAAUGAGAGUGCUAUUAAGAAUAAAAUGGGUUGUUGUAAAGGCGGAUGCACCAAUGAUAACUGGGAAGUGUUCAUCGAUGACCACAAGAUUCAUGGGUUUAUUGUCGGGCUUGUCAUAAUAGCAGUAUUCUUGGCGUACAGAUUAUUUCGUUGUCAUCACCCGCGCCGACGUCUCUUGUGUUGGUGAAAUAAAAUGCUUAAAAACGAUACUUGAAGCAUUACUUUGGAAAUACGCAUCUUUGGCAACUUCAAAUAACUUUAAGCUAUUCUUCUCGCCCGUUUCUCGUACCAUACUAGAAAGGUGACUAUUGGGAUCGGACAUAAGAAUGUAUGGAUGAUCGAAUUCUGCCACCUCUCCGGUACUCAUUACCAGAACUCGGUCCGAAUCCAUGAUCGUGUUCAAGCGAUGUGCAAUAGUCAAUACGGUACAUGAAGCAAAAGCACGCCGUAUAGUCUGCUGAAUGAAAUUAUCCGUUCUGAAAAUUGAAGAAAGAUUUUAGAGAUAUACUCGGUAGCCUAUCAACAAUUGGCGCGUCAGCUGAUACAAAACUCACUGAGGAUCAACGUUGGCUGUGGCCUCGUCCAUAAUUAAAAUUUUAUUGGAUCUGAGUAUGGCUCGUGCCAAGCACAUCAGCUGUCUUUGGCCCACGGAGAAGUUAGAUCCACCUUCUGUCACUUUGAAAUCCAACGAAGGAACGGCCGCUUUCAUGUCCACCUAAAACCACGUAAAUGUUUCUCUUACCCGAAAAACUACUCUAGUUAAUAAAAAUUAAUAUAA
Long non-coding RNA from Bombyx mori (domestic silkworm), 987 nucleotides. RefSeq lists it as uncharacterized. NCBI's taxonomy places the organism in Eukaryota, Metazoa, Arthropoda, Insecta, Lepidoptera, Bombycidae. The transcript has 2 exons. The record is from RefSeq and is a predicted model, not a curated record.